RNAcentral lists this ribosomal RNA (478 nucleotides) under uncultured Planctomycetales bacterium. RNAcentral's name for it is "bacterial SSU rRNA". It matches the Rfam family "Bacterial small subunit ribosomal RNA", at positions 365 to 833 of the family's 1533-position model. The record is from RNAcentral. Lineage: Bacteria; Pseudomonadati; Planctomycetota; Planctomycetia; Planctomycetales.
UUCGCAAUGCCCGAAAGGGUGACGAAGCGACGCCGCGUGUGGGAAGAAGGCCUUCGGGUUGUAAACCACUGUCGGGAGUUAAGAAAUGCAAGGAUAUGAAUAGUGUCUUUGCUUGACUAAGGCUCCGGAGGAAGCCACGGCUAACUCUGUGCCAGCAGCCGCGGUAAUACAGAGGCGGCAAGCGUUGUUCGGAAUUAUUGGGCGUAAAGAGCACGUAGGCGGCUAUGUAAGUCGGUUGUGAAAGCCUUCCGCUCAACGGGAGAACAGCAUCCGAUACUACAUGGCUUGAGUGCGGGAGGGGAGAGUGGAACUUCUGGUGGAGCGGUGAAAUGCGUAGAUAUCAGAAGGAACGCCGGCGGCGAAAGCGGCUCUCUGGCCCAUAACUGACGCUGAGUGUGCGAAAGCUAGGGGAGCAAACGGGAUUAGAUACCCCGGUAGUCCUAGCCGUAAACGAUGGGCACUAAGUAGAGGGGUAUUU